Molecule: unclassified non-coding RNA, 324 nt
Filed under: Hevea brasiliensis (rubber tree)
Lineage: Eukaryota; Viridiplantae; Streptophyta; Magnoliopsida; Malpighiales; Euphorbiaceae
Source: RNAcentral
CGGUUGCGACAUCCAAAUAUUGUACUUUUUAUGGGUGCUGUCAUUCAGCCACCAAAUUUGUCCAUAGUCACGGAAUAUUUAUCGAGAGGUAGCUUAUAUAGACUUCUUCAUAAACCUGGUGCGAGAGAGGUGUUGGAUGAAAGGCGUCGCCUGUGUAUGGCUUACGAUGUGGCAAAUGGGAUGAAUUAUCUUCACAAACGCAAUCCUCCCAUUGUGCACCGAGAUUUAAAAUCUCCAAAUCUUCUAGUAGACAAAAAAUAUACAGUGAAGAUCUGUGAUUUUGGUCUUUCUCGUUUCAAAGCGAAUACAUUCCUUUCAUCAAAG